RNAcentral lists this ribosomal RNA (489 nucleotides) under uncultured Lachnospiraceae bacterium. RNAcentral describes it as "bacterial SSU rRNA". It matches the Rfam family "Bacterial small subunit ribosomal RNA", at positions 1046 to 1533 of the family's 1533-position model. The record is from RNAcentral. Lineage: Bacteria; Bacillati; Bacillota; Clostridia; Lachnospirales; Lachnospiraceae.
UGGUUGUCGUCAGCUCGUGUCGUGAGAUGUUGGGUUAAGUCCCGCAACGAGCGCAACCCUAUCUUAGUAGCCAGCAGGUUCGGCCUGGGCACUCUAGAGAGACUGCCAGGGAUAACCUGGAGGAAGGCGGGGAUGACGUCAAAUCAUCAUGCCCCUUAUGAUCUGGGCUACACACGUGCUACAAUGGUGACUACAAAGGGAAGCGAAGCAGUGAUGUGGAGCAAAUCCCAAAAAGGUCAUCUCAGUUCGGAUUGUAGUCUGCAACUCGACUACAUGAAGCUGGAAUCGCUAGUAAUCGCGAAUCAGAAUGUCGUGGUGAAUACGUUCCCGGGUCUUGUACACACCGCCCGUCACACCAUGGGAGUUGGAUAUGCCCGAAGUCAGUGACCCAACCGUAAGGAGGGAGCUGCCGAAGGUGGAGCCGAUGACUGGGGUGAAGUCGUAACAAGGUAGCCGUAUCGGAAGGUGCGGCUGGAUCACCUCCUUUAU